RNAcentral lists this ribosomal RNA (487 nucleotides) under uncultured bacterium. Its description in RNAcentral is "bacterial SSU rRNA". It matches the Rfam family "Bacterial small subunit ribosomal RNA", at positions 501 to 987 of the family's 1533-position model. The record is from RNAcentral.
CUACGUGCCAGCAGCCGCGGUAAUACGUAGGUCCCGAGCGUUGUCCGGAUUUAUUGGGCGUAAAGCGAGCGCAGGCGGUUAGAUAAGUCUGAAGUUAAAGGCUGUGGCUUAACCAUAGUACGCUUUGGAAACUGUUUAACUUGAGUGCAAGAGGGGAGAGUGGAAUUCCAUGUGUAGCGGUGAAAUGCGUAGAUAUAUGGAGGAACACCGGUGGCGAAAGCGGCUCUCUGGCUUGUAACUGACGCUGAGGCUCGAAAGCGUGGGGAGCAAACAGGAUUAGAUACCCUGGUAGUCCACGCCGUAAACGAUGAGUGCUAGGUGUUAGACCCUUUCCGGGGUUUAGUGCCGUAGCUAACGCAUUAAGCACUCCGCCUGGGGAGUACGACCGCAAGGUUGAAACUCAAAGGAAUUGACGGGGGCCCGCACAAGCGGUGGAGCAUGUGGUUUAAUUCGACGCAACGCGAAGAACCUUACCAGGUCUUGACAU